RNAcentral lists this ribosomal RNA (478 nucleotides) under uncultured bacterium. Its description in RNAcentral is "partial 16S ribosomal RNA". It matches the Rfam family "Bacterial small subunit ribosomal RNA", at positions 28 to 507 of the family's 1533-position model. The record is from RNAcentral.
GAUGAACGCUGGCGGCGUGCCUAACACAUGCAAGUCGAACGGAGUCCAGCCUUUAAGACCUUCGGGUCAAAGAGGGGAAGACUGAGUGGCGGACGGGUGAGUAACACGUGGGCAACCUGGCUCAUAGAGGGGGAUAACAGAGAGAAAUUUCUGCUAAUACCGCAUAAGCACACACUGCCGCAUGGCAGAGGGUGAAAAGAGAAUCGCUAUGAGAUGGACCCGCGUCUGAUUAGCCAGUUGGCAGGGUAAGAGCCUACCAAAGCGACGAUCAGUAGCCGAUCUGAGAGGAUGAACGGCCACAUUGGGACUGAGACACGGCCCAAACUCCUACGGGAGGCAGCAGUGGGGGAUAUUGCACAAUGGGGGGAACCCUGAUGCAGCGACGCCGCGUGAGUGAAGAAGUAUAUCGGUAUGUAAAGCUCUAUCAGCAGGGAAGAUAAUGACAGUACCUGAAUAAGAAGCCCCGGCUAACUACGUG